Molecule: ribosomal RNA, 1466 nt
Filed under: uncultured Bordetella sp.
Lineage: Bacteria; Pseudomonadati; Pseudomonadota; Betaproteobacteria; Burkholderiales; Alcaligenaceae
Description: partial 16S-23S ribosomal RNA intergenic spacer
Rfam family: Bacterial small subunit ribosomal RNA
Source: RNAcentral
UUUGAUUCUGGCUCAGAUUGAACGCUGGCGGGAUGCUUUACACAUGCAAGUCGAACGGCAGCACGGACUUCGGUCUGGUGGCGAGUGGCGAACGGGUGAGUAAUGUAUCGGAACGUGCCUAUAUGGGGAUAACUAAUACGCGAAAAAGUAACCAUUACCGCAUACGCCCUUCGGGGGAAAGCGGGGACCUUCGGGCCUCGCACUAUUAGAGCGGCCGAUAUCGGAUUAGCUAGUUGGUGGGGUAACGGCUCACCAAGGCGACGAUCCGUGGCUGGUUUUGAGAGGACGACCAGCCACACUGGGACUGAGACACGGCCCAGACUCCUACGGGAGGCAGCAGUGGGGAAUUUUGGACAAUGGGGAAACCCUGAUCCAGCCAUCCCGCGUGUGCGAUGAAGGCCUUUGGUUGUAAAGCACUUUUGGCAGGAAAGAAACGGCACGGGAUAAUACCCCGUGCAACUGACGGUACCUGCAGAAUAAGCACCGGCUAACUACGUGCCAGCAGCCGCGGUAAUACGUAGGGUGCAAGUGUUAAUCGGAAUUACUGGGCGUAAGCGUGCGCAGGCGGUUCGGAAAGAAAGAUGUGAAAUCCCAGAGCUUAACUUUGGAACUGCAUUUUUAACUACCGAGCUAGAGUGUGUCAGAGGGAGGUGGAAUUCGCGUAGCAGUGAAAUGCGUAGAUAUGCGGAGGAACACCGAUGGCGAAGGCAGCCUCCUGGGAUAACACUGACGCUCAUGCACGAAAGCGUGGGAGCAAACAGGAUUAGAUACUCCGGUAGUCCACGCCUCUAAACGAUGUCAACUAGCUGCUACUUCGGCCUUGGUAGCGCAGCUAACGCAAGAAGUUGACCGCCUGGGGAGUACGGUCGCAAGAUUAAAACUCAAAGGAAUUGAUUUGGGACCCGCACAAGCGGUGGAUGAUGUGGAUUAAUUCGAUGCAACGCGAAAACCUUACCUACCCUGACAUGGCCCGUAACCCCAGAUUUGGGAGUGCUCGCAAGAGAACCGGAACACAGGUGCUGCAUGGCUGUCGUCAGCUCGUGUCGUGAGAUGUUGGGUUAAGUCCCGCAACGAGCGCAACCCUGUCAUUAGUUGCUACGAAAGGGCACUCAAUGAGACUGCCGGUGACAAACCGGAGGAAGGGUGGGGAUGACGUCAAGUCCUCAUGGCCCUUAUGGUAGGGCUUCACACGUCAUACAAUGGUCGGGAUAGGUCGCCAACCCUGCGAGGGGGAGCCAAUCCCAGAAACCCGAUCGUAGUCCGGAUCGCAGUCUGCAACUCGACUGCGUGAAGUCGGAAUCGCUAGUAAUCGCGGAUCAGCAUGUCGCGGUGAAUACGUUCCCGGCCCUGUACACACCGCCCGUCACACCAUGGGAGUGGGUUUCACCAGAAGUAGUUAGCCUAACCGUAAGGAGGGCGAUUACCACGGUAGGAUUCAUGACUGGGGUGAAGUCGUAACAAGGUAA